CACGUAGGGUGCGAGCGUUGUUCGGAAUUACUGGGCGUAAAGCGUAUGCAGGCGGAUCGUUAAGUCGGGGGUGAAAUCCCGAGGCUCAACCUCGGAACUGCCUUCGAUACUGGCGACCUUCGAGUCCGGGAGAGGUGAGUGGAACUCCGAGUGUAGAGGUGAAAUUCGUAGAUAUUCGGAAGAACACCAGUGGCGAAGGCGGCUCACUGGCCCGGUACUGACGCUGAGAUACGAAAGCGUGGGGAGCAAACAGG
Molecule: ribosomal RNA, 254 nt
Filed under: uncultured bacterium
Lineage: Bacteria
Description: partial 16S ribosomal RNA
Rfam family: Bacterial small subunit ribosomal RNA
Source: RNAcentral